GUCCAUCGCGUGGGCGACCUUCCUUGCUCUCUGAGUAUCAUGAGUUUCAGUCAAACAGAAGAGAAAAGUUGGCGUAGUGAGGGAAAGUGUGGGAGAGAAUCAAGGACUGAUUAACCAAUCGCGUGCUCUCGCACAGUAGAAAUCGCUCGCGCCUACAUCGGUCCGCCAAAGACAAAGAGAGAAACGGUCGGAGUGAAGAGAGAGAGAGAGAGAUUAAGGCGCAUUUUUGAAUUUGAUGGUCAGUUCAGGGGUUCAGACUGCGGAACCCUUUUAUACACUGAAGGGUUCGGUGGCCCGCAGUGGAACUUUAUAUACCUAGUGCUUUGGUAUAUAUGUACAAAAAACAUCUGUAGGUAUAUUAUGAUCUUCUAUGGCGUCAUUUCCUACUGCUGAGGAAUCUAUGGCUGAGAUCUACAGAGCGUACUUUGGCUUUGGUUUGGUUUUUACUAGAUUUAUGCCAGUGACACUAACACUGUUUCGUUUUAGCAGCAUUAUAAGUCUGAGCUAAGUCAGCUCUAAUAUAAGAUCUCAGCCUAAGAAUUGCUAUAUCAUAGCGCAAAACAUGGUAAGCAUGGUAAUGGACCCCAACUUGAAAAGGCCCAAGAUAAUUCGUGAUCUCUACCUAUAUUUUAAGAAGAUUUUACCCCCAACUUAAAAUGUUGGUGAGGGUCUCGCAUUAGUAGGCACUUUAUAAUAUUAAAGCUACUUUUUCUCAUCCAUUAAGUACCUACUUCAAGCCUGACACCCCCAAACUAAAAAUUUACUAAAGGUCCAUGUUGUUUCGCCUUUUUGAAAAUUAUUUAUUCCUAGUCGGGUACUAUAUUUUCAAAUUUCGAAUGUGAGCGCGCGCCAUUUUCUUUUAAAGAUUCUUGCCAGUUUUAUCUAUCUUUAAGCUUUUAACCAAUAUUCAAAGUGUUUCACCAAAGAAAGGGCCCCACCUGAGUUGUUGGCAUUGAUUUAAUUAGCAGGUAUAUAGUUAAUGAUUUAAUACAAUAAUUCAUGUAAUAGUUUGUCGAGAAAUUUUAGCCAAAAUCUGUAUUUUUUAUAUAAGAAAAUAUAUUUUUUAUGUAAAGAAAUCUCACGUUAUGUUAUGGCUUAGGAUACCAAAGAAAAUACAAAGUAGUUAAAUAAAUGUUUUAAAUGUGCAUUCAA
This is a long non-coding RNA of Maniola jurtina (meadow brown), 1152 nucleotides long. RefSeq lists it as uncharacterized. The transcript has 2 exons. NCBI's taxonomy places the organism in Eukaryota, Metazoa, Arthropoda, Insecta, Lepidoptera, Nymphalidae. The record is from RefSeq and is a predicted model, not a curated record.